Molecule: ribosomal RNA, 430 nt
Filed under: Bacteroidota bacterium
Lineage: Bacteria; Pseudomonadati; Bacteroidota
Description: Bacteroidetes bacterium partial 16S ribosomal RNA
Rfam family: Bacterial small subunit ribosomal RNA
Source: RNAcentral
UAGGGAAUCUUCGGCAAUGGGGGGAACCCUGACCGAGCAACGCCGCGUGAGUGAAGAAGGUUUUCGGAUCGUAAAGCUCUGUUGUUAAGGAAGAACGAGUGUGAGAAUGGAAAGUUCAUGCUGUGACGGUACUUAACCAGAAAGGGACGGCUAACUACGUGCCAGCAGCCGCGGUAAUACGUAGGUGGCAAGCGUUAUCCGGAAUUAUUGGGCGUAAAGCGCGCGUAGGCGGUUUUUUAAGUCUGAUGUGAAAGCCCACGGCUCAACCGUGGAGGGUCAUUGGAAACUGGAAAACUUGAGUGCAGAAGAGGAAAGUGGAAUUCCAUGUGUAGCGGUGAAAUGCGCAGAGAUAUGGAGGAACACCGGUGGCGAAAGCGGCUCUCUGGUCUGUAACUGACGCUGAGGCUCGAAAGCGUGGGGAGCGAACAGG